AUUGAACGCUGGCGGCAGGCCUAACACAUGCAAGUCGAACGGUAACAGGAAGCUGCUUGCUGCUUCGCUGACGAGUGGCGGACGGGUGAGUAAUGUCUGGGAAGCUGCCUGAUGGAGGGGGAUAACUACUGGAAACGGUAGCUAAUACCGCAUAAUGUCGCAGGACCAAAGAGGGGGACCUUCGGGCCUCUUGCCAUCGGCUGUGCCCAGGUGGGUUUAGCUUGUUGGUGGGGUAACGGCUCACCAAGGCGACGAUCCCUAGCUGGUCUGAGAGGAUGAACAGCCACACUGGAACUGAGACACGGUCCAGACUCCUACGGGAGGCAGCAGUGGGGAAUAUUGCACAAUGGGCGAAAGCCUGAUGCAGUCAUGCCGCGUGUAUGAAGAAGGCCUUCGGGUUGUAAAGUACUUUCAGCGGGGAGGAAGGGAGUAAAGUUAAUACCUUUGCUCAUUGACGUUACCCGCAGAAGAAGCACCGGCUAACUCCGUG
This 490-nucleotide ribosomal RNA is filed under the name uncultured bacterium. RNAcentral describes it as "partial 16S ribosomal RNA". It matches the Rfam family "Bacterial small subunit ribosomal RNA", at positions 30 to 507 of the family's 1533-position model. The record is from RNAcentral.